Molecule: ribosomal RNA, 2774 nt
Filed under: Escherichia coli
Lineage: Bacteria; Pseudomonadati; Pseudomonadota; Gammaproteobacteria; Enterobacterales; Enterobacteriaceae
Description: bacterial LSU rRNA
Rfam family: Bacterial large subunit ribosomal RNA
Source: RNAcentral
AGCGUACACGGUGGAUGCCCUGGCAGUCAGAGGCGAUGAAGGACGUGCUAAUCUGCGAUAAGCGUCGGUAAGGUGAUAUGAACCGUUAUAACCGGCGAUUUCCGAAUGGGGAAACCCAGUGUGUUUCGACACACUAUCAUUAACUGAAUCCAUAGGUUAAUGAGGCGAACCGGGGGAACUGAAACAUCUAAGUACCCCGAGGAAAAGAAAUCAACCGAGAUUCCCCCAGUAGCGGCGAGCGAACGGGGAGCAGCCCAGAGCCUGAAUCAGUGUGUGUGUUAGUGGAAGCGUCUGGAAAGGCGCGCGAUACAGGGUGACAGCCCCGUACACAAAAAUGCACAUGCUGUGAGCUCGAUGAGUAGGGCGGGACACGUGGUAUCCUGUCUGAAUAUGGGGGGACCAUCCUCCAAGGCUAAAUACUCCUGACUGACCGAUAGUGAACCAGUACCGUGAGGGAAAGGCGAAAAGAACCCCGGCGAGGGGAGUGAAAAAGAACCUGAAACCGUGUACGUACAAGCAGUGGGAGCACGCUUAGGCGUGUGACUGCGUACCUUUUGUAUAAUGGGUCAGCGACUUAUAUUCUGUAGCAAGGUUAACCGAAUAGGGGAGCCGAAGGGAAACCGAGUCUUAACUGGGCGUUAAGUUGCAGGGUAUAGACCCGAAACCCGGUGAUCUAGCCAUGGGCAGGUUGAAGGUUGGGUAACACUAACUGGAGGACCGAACCGACUAAUGUUGAAAAAUUAGCGGAUGACUUGUGGCUGGGGGUGAAAGGCCAAUCAAACCGGGAGAUAGCUGGUUCUCCCCGAAAGCUAUUUAGGUAGCGCCUCGUGAAUUCAUCUCCGGGGGUAGAGCACUGUUUCGGCAAGGGGGUCAUCCCGACUUACCAACCCGAUGCAAACUGCGAAUACCGGAGAAUGUUAUCACGGGAGACACACGGCGGGUGCUAACGUCCGUCGUGAAGAGGGAAACAACCCAGACCGCCAGCUAAGGUCCCAAAGUCAUGGUUAAGUGGGAAACGAUGUGGGAAGGCCCAGACAGCCAGGAUGUUGGCUUAGAAGCAGCCAUCAUUUAAAGAAAGCGUAAUAGCUCACUGGUCGAGUCGGCCUGCGCGGAAGAUGUAACGGGGCUAAACCAUGCACCGAAGCUGCGGCAGCGACACUAUGUGUUGUUGGGUAGGGGAGCGUUCUGUAAGCCUGCGAAGGUGUGCUGUGAGGCAUGCUGGAGGUAUCAGAAGUGCGAAUGCUGACAUAAGUAACGAUAAAGCGGGUGAAAAGCCCGCUCGCCGGAAGACCAAGGGUUCCUGUCCAACGUUAAUCGGGGCAGGGUGAGUCGACCCCUAAGGCGAGGCCGAAAGGCGUAGUCGAUGGGAAACAGGUUAAUAUUCCUGUACUUGGUGUUACUGCGAAGGGGGGACGGAGAAGGCUAUGUUGGCCGGGCGACGGUUGUCCCGGUUUAAGCGUGUAGGCUGGUUUUCCAGGCAAAUCCGGAAAAUCAAGGCUGAGGCGUGAUGACGAGGCACUACGGUGCUGAAGCAACAAAUGCCCUGCUUCCAGGAAAAGCCUCUAAGCAUCAGGUAACAUCAAAUCGUACCCCAAACCGACACAGGUGGUCAGGUAGAGAAUACCAAGGCGCUUGAGAGAACUCGGGUGAAGGAACUAGGCAAAAUGGUGCCGUAACUUCGGGAGAAGGCACGCUGAUAUGUAGGUGAAGUCCCUCGCGGAUGGAGCUGAAAUCAGUCGAAGAUACCAGCUGGCUGCAACUGUUUAUUAAAAACACAGCACUGUGCAAACACGAAAGUGGACGUAUACGGUGUGACGCCUGCCCGGUGCCGGAAGGUUAAUUGAUGGGGUUAGCCGCAAGGCGAAGCUCUUGAUCGAAGCCCCGGUAAACGGCGGCCGUAACUAUAACGGUCCUAAGGUAGCGAAAUUCCUUGUCGGGUAAGUUCCGACCUGCACGAAUGGCGUAAUGAUGGCCAGGCUGUCUCCACCCGAGACUCAGUGAAAUUGAACUCGCUGUGAAGAUGCAGUGUACCCGCGGCAAGACGGAAAGACCCCGUGAACCUUUACUAUAGCUUGACACUGAACAUUGAGCCUUGAUGUGUAGGAUAGGUGGGAGGCUUAGAAGUGUGGACGCCAGUCUGCAUGGAGCCGACCUUGAAAUACCACCCUUUAAUGUUUGAUGUUCUAACGUUGACCCGUAAUCCGGGUUGCGGACAGUGUCUGGUGGGUAGUUUGACUGGGGCGGUCUCCUCCUAAAGAGUAACGGAGGAGCACGAAGGUUGGCUAAUCCUGGUCGGACAUCAGGAGGUUAGUGCAAUGGCAUAAGCCAGCUUGACUGCGAGCGUGACGGCGCGAGCAGGUGCGAAAGCAGGUCAUAGUGAUCCGGUGGUUCUGAAUGGAAGGGCCAUCGCUCAACGGAUAAAAGGUACUCCGGGGAUAACAGGCUGAUACCGCCCAAGAGUUCAUAUCGACGGCGGUGUUUGGCACCUCGAUGUCGGCUCAUCACAUCCUGGGGCUGAAGUAGGUCCCAAGGGUAUGGCUGUUCGCCAUUUAAAGUGGUACGCGAGCUGGGUUUAGAACGUCGUGAGACAGUUCGGUCCCUAUCUGCCGUGGGCGCUGGAGAACUGAGGGGGGCUGCUCCUAGUACGAGAGGACCGGAGUGGACGCAUCACUGGUGUUCGGGUUGUCAUGCCAAUGGCACUGCCCGGUAGCUAAAUGCGGAAGAGAUAAGUGCUGAAAGCAUCUAAGCACGAAACUUGCCCCGAGAUGAGUUCU